Non-coding RNA from Podarcis lilfordi (Lilford's wall lizard), 5696 nucleotides. Lineage: Eukaryota; Metazoa; Chordata; Lepidosauria; Squamata; Lacertidae. The record is from the annotation of a GenBank genome assembly.
GGAUUCCUGGUUGCCAGGCAGACAGGGGGACAGAUGAGGAGGCAAAGCUAAGCUAGGCCCAUUCAACACUCUGGAGGGAGGGAGGGAGAGAGAGAGAGAGAGAGAGCAAGGUGGCUUUCAGGACCAUGGACAGCACCCCUGCAGCUGAGACCAAGCAUCCAAGUUGUCUCAGCGAGGUGCUGGAGCAAACAGCAGAGCUUCGUAGCAGUAGCCAUUGUCUUCUGGCCAUGUUAAAGAGGUGCUGCCAUUGACUGCUUCAUGGCAAUGGGGUUCCCAGCUGCAGGGCACUCUCUGCUCAAGGCUCUCUUUACCCUCUUAGGAGUCUGUGGACCAACCACCAGAGCUUUGUGGCACAGGAGUCUUCUUGGGGCUCAAGAGGGCAGCUGAGGGCUCCAGCGCCCGCACAACCACACAGGCAGACCUGGGUGUGGGCUCACCUCCUCCUCAGAGCUGCGGUCGCCAGAGAACUCUGGUCUAGGGCCAGAACAUCUACCACAUUUGGAUGUAAGUGAAAUACUAAGCAUUACCAUCUAAAGAAGGAAGACCCUCCCCCACCCAAAAAAUAUAUACAGUGGUACCUCGGGUUAAGUACUUAAUUCGUUCCAGAGGUCUGUUCUUAACCUGAAACUGUUCUUAACCUGAAGCACCACUUUAGCUAAUGGGGCCUCCUGCUGCCGUUGCGCCGCCACUGCACGAUUUCUGUUCUCAUCCUGAAGCAAAGUUCUUAACCCGAGGUAAUAUUUCUGGGUUAGCAGAGUCUGUAACCUGAAGCGUAUGUAACCUGAAGCAUAUGUAACCUGAAGCGUAUGUAACCUGAGGUACCACUGUAUUAGACCAUUAAGACCAGAGUCUAAAAUUACCUAACUGUCACUGCUAACUUAACGUGCUCUCAUUUUCCAAUCCAUGAUGGAUGGAGCAGGGGUAGCAGGAAGAGAUCAUCUCAAAAGAGCAAGGAGGGAGGGUGCAAACCCCUCCCCUCUAAUCAAAGAACUUGUCACUGUCUCUUUGGUGGCAGCAUAUGCCACUAACAAUAACCGCGAUCCGAAGGCUUUUGAAAUCCAUUAUUAACGAGUAACAUUCGCCGCCAUCUCCCCCGCCAUUCUAACGAGCUUUCCCUUUUGGAUGUCAUCCGGGGCCGGCAUGGAUCCCCAAGCGGCAGGACAAGCUGUCAUCUCCGAUUUUCUUCCAAGGGGGCAAGUGGUUUCGGAGGAGGAGGAAAGAUGACCAGGUCUUCCUGACCUUUUCUCCUUCAAUUCCGCUCCUCUCCUUCUUCAGAGAGAGGAAACGGGGGCAGGGAGGGAACCCCAGCAAAUCACACUACGCAGAACUGACAAACUCAUCACCGUGAGGUGCUGUUACAUAUACAAUAGCCAUGUCACUCGGCAUCAGGAAGGAAGAGGUCCUGAUGGAAUUACAGCCCCAUCAUGGGUCUAAUCGGUCAGUAGAUUUAACUUUUUUUUUUCCUGGCAGCCUGGUGUCAAUAUAAGUUUUUGUAUCUCUCUGGGUCUCGGAGCAGCCCAAAGUGACUUCGGUUACAGCUGAAGCCACCCUUUUAUUUGUUAUUUCACAAAAUUUACAUUUCACUUGAUUUUAAAAGGAAACAUCUGAUCAGGUUUUCCAAUGCAUAAGAACAAAGCACAAGAAACUUAAAUGCCUUCCUAAUACAGAAUGGGUCUAAGGUUAUGGAUGAUGCAGACACUUCCAGGUAACGGAGAGAAGUAAGAAGUAUCAGGUUCUUUUUCAGCUCUACAGUUCUAUGUUUCUAAGUCCACUUAUAACGAAGGAGAGGAAGCACUAUGCAAUCCGGAUAUAAAUGUACUCAUUCUUUUCGUUGGUGAACGGCAGCACAAUUUCCAGGCUGGUUUGAACAACCAAUCCAUCUUCCCAGGGAACUCUGGGAAGUGUAGGGAAAUAGGGGCCUCCUAGCAGCUCCCUCAGCACACCUAACAAACUACAGUUCCCAGGAUCCCUUGGGGGACGCCAUGACAAUUAAAGCGGUACGAUACUGCAUUAAAUGUCAUGUGUAGGUGGGGCCUGAGAUCUUGCAUUAUCAGAAAGACUGGAGAGAUACAAAAGAUAAAAUAGCCAGGUCAAGGGGCAGCAGCUAUAGGGGGCUCUUGGGACCCAAGCACCCACAAAAUUUUUGUUGUGGGUGCUCAGCACCCACACCACAGGACCCCCAACGCAACUUCCAGUGCCUUGUAAAUCACUGGAAGUCACAUCUGAGGCCUUGCGAGACCUUGGAGAUUUUGUUCGAGGCCUUGCGAGACCUUGGAACCUGACUCCCGUUGCCACUGGGCACGCAUAACCUGGGGUCCAAGUCAGCGCCCCACGCCAAUGAACAAUGAGAAUCACCUAAUGCAAAGGUGAGCAGGUCAUUUAUUGCUAUUAUUAGUACUGGUGGUUUUUUUAUAAAAAAAAAUUCUUGUUACCAUCAGUACUACAGUGAUACCUCAGGUUACAGAUGCUUCAGGUUACAUACGCUUCAGGUUACAGACUCCGCUAACCCCGAAAUAGUACCUCCAGUUAAGAACUUUGCUUCAGGAUGAGAACAGAAAUCGUGUGGCGGUGGCACGGCGGCAGCAGGAGGCCCCAUUAGCUAAAGUGGUACCUCAGGUUAAGAACAGUUUCAGGUUAAGAACAGACCUCCAGAACGAAUUAAGUUCUUAACCCGAGGUACCACUGUAUUUUAGUAAUUUAAAGAGCACCAGACAUUUACUAAGCACUGAGCAAAGAUGAACGGAAAGCAAGACCUCAUCACCACAAUUAUUAUUAUGAAUGAUAUUUGUUAAGCACCCAAGAUUUACUAAGCAUUGGACAAAGAUGAAGGGAAACUCAGAGAGUGCCUGCCUGCAGGAUGACAAUCAAACAGACAUGAAACAAGAGGGGAAAGGAUGGGGGGGAGACCGGGGAGAAGCACACCCAGGUACCAAUCUUUAAAGUCACGCUGUUGUUGCUUUUAUGAUGACUGGCUUGAAUGGAAACCACUGAGGGAGGCAGCCCUGUGAAAUGUCUGUCAGACUCCAAAGGCCACACCCUUCACUGGCCUUUCUUCACACCCCCCUUGAGCAUUUUUGCCUGGCUGGAAUGUGCCCUUGAACUCAGAUCAUCCCUCUUGAUUGCCUGCCUGGAGGACAGAGAGAGAUGAGUUCAUACAAAGCUGCUGUACAAAGGGGCAAGUUUGUGUUUGCUGCUCCGCCCACUUUUGCCUCUGGCUCCACCCACCAUUGCUAUGUGGGCCCCGCCUCCAGAAAGGGAUUGUGGCCCUUGGGCUUUAAAAAAAAAUGCCCCCCACCUGACACAGGGUUUUAAAAAAUGUAUGUAUUUAUUUAUAAAACAUAUAUGUGCGCUGCUGCAUCAUUUAAAAAUAUCAAAGCAGUUUGCAGUGGUAUCGGUAUAUCAUAAAAAAGUGCACAUUUAAAACCAGGGACCAUCAACUAACUAUUGAGGAAAGACAGUUUAGUUCAAACCACUCAAAACAAUUCACUCUCUCUGGUACAACCUCUCUCAUUUCACGGUUCCUUUCUUGAGUCUCUGUCUCUCACACCUUUGUCUCUCUUCCUGACACCCCCUUUUCUCUCUCCCUCUCUCUCUCCCUGCGAAUUGGGGUGCCAGGAAAGGGGCAGGUAACUGUUGUCAGAAGCCGGAACAGAUCGCUUGAAGAAGACUUCAUUUCUCCCUCUCCUCCUCCUUCCAUCCGUUUUAGCUCACCGCCCCCCAUUCCCUCUCUUCCUAUUCUUCCUCCAGGCUUCCCACAUGCAGUCGGGCCACGGUUCACAUGUGGCACUUGGACCCAUGCAAAAGGAGGUGGCCAUUUCUUUCAGACAACUCCACGUGUUUCCCCAAAGGCUGUCCAGCAGCAGAAACAGAAUACGGUCAAAUCUCAGUGUUGAAAUGUUCAACAACCAAGGCGCAGCUUCCAAUUGGUUGCAAGAGCUUCCUGCUCUCAAGCAGAAACUACGUUGGACGUUCAGCUUCCGAAAAACAUUAAAACAUUUUUACUUCCAGGUUUUCGGCAUUCGGGAGCCAAAACGUUCCAAAAUGGAGCCGUUCGGGAACCAGGGUUUGACUGUACUAGGCUUUCUUUUCAGCCAAAACGUUCUGGCACCUCUCAGGUGGGUGCCAUUGCCAUCCAAAGAAAACAAGGGAGCAUUUCAUGAUGAGCUCCUCUUUUUCUAGAAAAAUAGCACUGAUUAGGCCACAUAGACUUUUGGUGAGAUUCAGCACGAAAACACUUACACUCUGUUUGUUUAUUUUGAAAACCUGAGCUUGGUCUUUUUAUUCAUCGGAGUGGGGAGAGGAAAGGAAAGGAAAUUAUGGUGAAAAUGAGAGGGGGGAGGUUGAGUUGGCUAGAGAGGUAUUUAGAGUCCCCACUGCCCUCCCCCAGGAGCUGAAGGACACCACGGGGUGAAAUUCAAAUAAACAAACUGAGGGGGAAGAGCCCGGGCGGAAAGGGCCCCGUCUGCCGAUUAUCAUCUGAAAAGAUUCUGUCGCCGCGUUCUCUCUCGUCCACCCCGGUGAUGAAAAUGAGAUUGUCUGAUGUGCUCGCCAGGACUGGAUUUACCUUUGCGAGGGUUUGCCCCCAAUCAGCAGAGAGGGGUCGUGCCACAAGCAUACUCAGAAAGAGAGAGAGAGAGAUGUCACCUCUCAGCUUCAUCAAACCGAUGCCAAUUUCAGCAAGGAGAUAUUAUGCAUUUCAAAGGGAAUAAGACCCCAAAAAGGGGGGGGGACCUCUCUCUCACCCCACGUGUGGCUCUUGUCACUGAUCUCUAUCGCUGCGUGGUAUACAUGGAAAACGUGUGUGUUUUGCCUGUAUCUCCACUCCAAGCAUGAGGGGGGCUUUGUUUGUUACAAGGGAUGCUCCUUAAAGAUGUACAACUUGUCACACUUCAUUGGCUGGUUUUUUUGCUUUUGCUUUUCAGGAUAUGAAGGGAUGCCUGGGAUAAAGGACUGUGUGUGUGUGUGUGAGAGAGAGAGAGAGAGAGAGAGAGAGAGAGAGAGAGAGGUGAAAGAUUUCUAAACACACUCCCUGGAAAGGAGGGGGAGAACCCUAAUAGUCUUCCUCUCCCAUGCGGGUUGCUCAUUAAAAAAAGAGAGAAAAGAAAUCUCCAUUUAAAUGCAAAUUCGAGUUUUAGCUGGGGACUUCCCCCAAAAGUAUCUCUGGAAACGGCUGGGGAAAUUGACUCGGAAAACUAAAAUGGCUGACGGCUGUGGAAAAGCGUUUGCCAUCCCAGACGUCUCUUCCGUGGCCACGUUGAGCUCCAGGCGAAUCCCAGGAUGCUGACAGUUGGAUGUGGCGUGAUGAGGAAGACCACCACCAUGUUUGUUUAUAGGCAGGCACUGGAUUUAUGUAUAAAAUGGGGGAAGGGUCGAGGGGGUUGCCUGAAUAGGGGCACAUGGAAGGAAAGAGCUGAACGUUUCCCUCACAACUUAACUUUCAUAACAGGUAGUGAGGAGGCUGCCUCGUACCGAGUCACAGCACGGAACCAUCUUGCUCAAAAUGGCCUCCACUCUGGUGCUGAGAACUGAGUCCUCCCCUUUCAGGAUAGUCCUUCUCCUGCCCUUCACCUGCAGAUCCUCAUCUGUCCAGUCCCAUCUUGUUUCUGGAUCACAGAAUUGUGACUGAAACUGGAGCAGGAAUGUUGAGAACUAGCGUGUGUGUUACAGGAUUUAUUAUUAUUAACUUUUGAACUGGC